Molecule: transfer RNA, 62 nt
Filed under: Ixodes acutitarsus
Lineage: Eukaryota; Metazoa; Arthropoda; Arachnida; Ixodida; Ixodidae
Description: tRNA-Asp
Source: RNAcentral
AAAAACUAGUUAAAUUUAUAACAAAAGAAUGUCAUUCUUUAAUUAUCUUAGAUGUUUUUUAA